Pimephales promelas (fathead minnow) is the source of this 789-nucleotide non-coding RNA. The record is from RefSeq and is a predicted model, not a curated record. NCBI's taxonomy places the organism in Eukaryota, Metazoa, Chordata, Actinopteri, Cypriniformes, Leuciscidae.
UUUGCCACAUGCUGUUUGCUGCUACUUUUGAAAUCCUGGUUUGGGAAACUGUUUGUUUGCUGCCCAAAUAGGAUUUUUUGUGCUGGAUGACACUCUUGGAUUACUUAUCCGAGGACUUAUUUCCUUGAUGCUCUUGGGUGGCAGAAAUGCCAUUAGCCAAGAAAUUAAUGUAAUCUUUUGUUUGGAAAGACAUCUAUGUGAUCUCUUAAAGACUGCAAUCAGACCUGAUCUCAUUCUGAGGAAAUGGACUUUUGAUUGACUUAACUCAUUCUCUAGAAUCUUCUUCUGAUCACCCACGGUUACUAUUAGGGAUUGUUUGUUUGGCUGUUGUACUUGAUUGAUAAAUGUUUGUCAAUAUUGUAUUAUAUCAAUAUAUGUUUAUGAAAGAGUUUCUGAUGUUUUGACUGUUUUCUUUUCCAAUGUUCAGCAGCAGACUGAGUGUGUGGGGUUGAUAAGAUUGAAUAGGAGAAUUUAUGAACAACAACAACAAAAAACCUUCAUGGUUUCUAACAUCCUUACAUAGCACUGAUCUAGCUGUGAGGAAAAUAUGUUACUAAUGUAGAGUCAGUUUUUUUUUUUUUUUUUUUUUUUUUGGAUAUGCAGUUUAUGAGCGCACAAAGCGGACCUCCCACAGACAGGAAUUCAAAAUUCCACUUUCACAUCUCACAAUUCAGCUAGUGCAGGGCCCCCAGCAGUAUUGUUAAAGAGCCACAAUAAUGCUGAAAGAACGUUGAAAAGCUGAAUCUUUUAAAUGUGUUUAUAGCCCAUCUGUUGCAUACUUUGUGUUUG